CCGCAUAAAUCCUAAUAAAAAUUCAUGAGUCAUUUCUCCCAUCUUACAUAAUGGCAGUACGAGAAGAGAGCACCUGGAUAUGAAUAAGUUCCAAAGCAAAGCAAUCCCUCCCGAUGCACCCUCCACAGAUAUCGCCCAGGAGCACCAUCCACCGCCUAGCCUACAUGCCAUCCUACGUGCAGUAUUUGCAUCGAAGUGCAUGUCUUGCAAAACAACCAAAUUACAUCUAUGAGAUUGGAUAACAAAACGUAUCUUAUCCUUCACUGACCUAUGAUGUAAGCCCCUACAAUUCCAACUUAAAACACUCGCAGUAAAAGAAAAUGAAAGUCAACAAAGUCCCUCAAGAUGUCCAGUGGAGGAGAAACUUUUCCACCACAAGGUUGAAGUCCCAGGGCUGCCUCCACUGCCUCAUAAUCUUCUCAUCAUAGCUAACAUUGGAGGAGAUCUUGAUGCAAUCAAAAGCAAACGUCGAAAGAAAUGAGUAAGAAACGGUAUCCUUAGAAUGGCCAGCAAGCAGGUCCGUCCAAGAUACCCUUUUACCUUCACCUUCACCACCGUGCCAGCAGCAAUCGGGUGAGGAGGUUCUCCCGUGCCCCCGGCGGACAGAGGACCGAAAGGCAGUGCCGAUUCCCUCGCGCCAGCAGCAAUCGGUUGAGCAGUUUCACCGCCGUUAGGCGCCACCGCUCUAGCAGCAUUCAACUGCGCCGAUUACCCCGCGCUCCCAACGGACGGAUGACUGUGAGACAUGCGCUCCCCAGCAUCUUCUCUAGCGAGCGAAAGGGCGGAAGAUCGGGGAACCUUAGAAAUAGCGGGCGAAGCUAAGUGGGGAGCCGCGAGC
This 838-nucleotide long non-coding RNA is filed under the name Musa acuminata (dwarf banana). Its description in RNAcentral is "long non-coding RNA (MACU_LNC010529)". The record is from RNAcentral. Lineage: Eukaryota; Viridiplantae; Streptophyta; Magnoliopsida; Zingiberales; Musaceae.